GAAAUACUCCCUCCGUCCCAAAAUUCUUGUCUUAGAUUUGUCUAAAUACGGAUGUAUCAAGUCACGUUUUGGUGUUAGAUACAUCCGUAUCUACACUAAUCUAAGACAAGAAUUUUGGGAUGGAGGGAGUAUAAA
Molecule: non-coding RNA, 135 nt
Organism: Triticum aestivum (bread wheat)
Lineage: Eukaryota; Viridiplantae; Streptophyta; Magnoliopsida; Poales; Poaceae
Source: Rfam